GAUGAACGCUGGCGGCGGGCCUAAUACAUGCAAGUCGAGCGAACAGACGAGGAGCUUGCUCCUCUGACGUUAGCGUCGGACGGGUGAGUAACACGUGGAUAACCUACCUAUAAGACUGGGAUAACUUCGGGAAACCGGAGCUAAUACCGGAUAAUAUAUUGAACCGCAUGGUUCAAUAGUGAAAGACGGUUUUGCUGUCACUUAUAGAUGGAUCCGCGCCGCAUUAGCUAGUUGGUAAGGUAACGGCUUACCAAGGCGACGAUUCGUAGCCGACCUGAGAGGGUGAUCGGCCACACUGGAACUGAGACACGGUCCAGACUCCUACGGGAGGCAGCAGUAGGGAAUCUUCCGCAAUGGGCGAAAGCCUGACGGAGCAACGCCGCGUGAGUGAUGAAGGUCUUCGGAUCGUAAAACUCUGUUAUUAGGGAAGAACAAAUGUGUAAGUAACUAUGCACGUCUUGACGGUACCUAAUCAGAAAGCCACGGCUAACUACGUG
RNAcentral lists this ribosomal RNA (497 nucleotides) under uncultured bacterium. RNAcentral's name for it is "partial 16S ribosomal RNA". It matches the Rfam family "Bacterial small subunit ribosomal RNA", at positions 28 to 507 of the family's 1533-position model. The record is from RNAcentral.